CAGAAUAAGCACCGGCUAACUCUGUGCCAGCAGCCGCGGUAAUACAGAGGGUGCGAGCGUUAAUCGGAUUUACUGGGCGUAAAGCGCGCGUAGGUGGUUAAUUAAGUCAAAUGUGAAAUCCCCGAGCUUAACUUGGGAAUUGCAUUCGAUACUGGUUAGCUAGAGUAUGGGAGAGGAUGGUAGAAUUCCAGGUGUAGCGGUGAAAUGCGUAGAGAUCUGGAGGAAUACCGAUGGCGAAGGCAGCCAUCUGGCCUAAUACUGACACUGAGGUGCGAAAGCAUGGGGAGCAAACAGGAUUAGAUACCCUGGUAGUCCAUGCCGUAAACGAUGUCUACUAGCCGUUGGGGGAUUUGAUCCUUUAGUGGCGCAGCUAACGCGAUAAGUAGACCGCCUGGGGAGUACGGUCGCAAGACUAAAACUCAAAUGAAUUGACGGGGGCCCGCACAAGCGGUGGAGCAUGUGGUUUAAUUCGAUGCAACGCGAAGAACCUUACCUGGCCUUGACAUAGUAGAGACUUUCCAGAGAUGGAUUGGUGCCUUCGGGAAUCUACAUACAGGUGCUGCAUGGCUGUCGUCAGCUCGUGUCGUGAGAUGUUGGGUUAAGUCCCGCAACGAGCGCAACCCUUUUCCUUACUUGCCAGCAUUUCGGAUGGGAACUUUAAGGAUACUGCCAGUGACAAACUGGAGGAAGGCGGGGACGACGUCAAGUCAUCAUGGGCCCUUACGGCCAGGGCUAC
This 736-nucleotide ribosomal RNA is filed under the name Acinetobacter sp. JITUC7. RNAcentral's name for it is "bacterial SSU rRNA". It matches the Rfam family "Bacterial small subunit ribosomal RNA", at positions 482 to 1217 of the family's 1533-position model. The record is from RNAcentral. Lineage: Bacteria; Pseudomonadati; Pseudomonadota; Gammaproteobacteria; Moraxellales; Moraxellaceae.